GGCCCCAUCAUCUAGCUGGUUAGGAUACGGCCCUCUCAAGGCCGGUGCACGGGUUCGAAUCCCGUUGGGGCUACCA
RNAcentral lists this transfer RNA (76 nucleotides) under Methylacidimicrobium cyclopophantes. Its description in RNAcentral is "tRNA-Glu". It matches the Rfam family "tRNA". Rfam says of the family: Transfer RNA (tRNA) molecules are approximately 80 nucleotides in length. Their secondary structure includes four short double-helical elements and three loops (D, anti-codon, and T loops). Further hydrogen bonds mediate the characteristic L-shaped molecular structure. tRNAs have two regions of fundamental functional importance: the anti-codon, which is responsible for specific mRNA codon recognition, and the 3' end, to which the tRNAs corresponding amino acid is attached (by aminoacyl-tRNA synthetases). tRNAs cope with the degeneracy of the genetic code in two manners: having more than one tRNA (with a specific anti-codon) for a particular amino acid; and 'wobble' base-pairing, i.e. permitting non-standard base-pairing at the 3rd anti-codon position. RNAcentral also lists the same sequence under 4 other names. The record is from RNAcentral. Lineage: Bacteria; Pseudomonadati; Verrucomicrobiota.